UAGGGAAUCUUCCGCAAUGGGCGAAAGCCUGACGGAGCAACGCCGCGUGACUGAUGAAGGUCUUCGGAUCGUAAAACUCUGUUAUUAGGGAAGAACAAAUGUGUAAGUAACUAUGCACGUCUUGACGUUACCUAAUCAGAAAGCCACGGCUAACUACGUGCCAGCAGCCGCGGUAAUACGUAGGUGGCAAGCGUUAUCCGGAAUUAUUGGGCGUAAAGCGCGCGUAGGCGGUUUUUUAAGUCUGAUGUGAAAGCCCACGGCUUAACCGUGGAGGGUCAUUGGAAACUGGAAAACUUGAGUGCAGAAGAGGAAAGUGGAAUUCCAUGUGUAGCGGUGAAAUGCGCAGAGAGAUGGAGGAACACCAGUGGCGAAGGCGACUUUCUGGUCUGUAACUGACGCUGAUGUGCGAAAGCGUGGGGAUCAAACAGG
RNAcentral lists this ribosomal RNA (429 nucleotides) under Actinomycetes bacterium. Its description in RNAcentral is "Actinobacteria bacterium partial 16S ribosomal RNA". It matches the Rfam family "Bacterial small subunit ribosomal RNA", at positions 355 to 776 of the family's 1533-position model. Lineage: Bacteria; Bacillati; Actinomycetota; Actinomycetes. The record is from RNAcentral.